Molecule: long non-coding RNA, 1020 nt
Organism: Anopheles moucheti
Lineage: Eukaryota; Metazoa; Arthropoda; Insecta; Diptera; Culicidae
Exons: 4
Source: RefSeq, a predicted model, not a curated record
AUAAUUCAAUAGCUGUUCUUCAAUCAGGGCACAGAUGGUUAAAGACACAGUGAAACAUUCAACCAAUCAAGAAACGACCGCUGUAACGCUAAUGGUUCUUUUUGAAUAGCUGACGGAGUGCCUGGAUGGAUGCAACCUGGAUGGACAAGCAACACCAUGAAAUAGUCAAAACGGUUGUUCAUGCACGGAAGUGGAUAUUAAAUGAAAUCUACGCGUAAUUUGGUGCCAUUUGUUGGCUAACCAAAUCAAAAAGGCAGUCUAAGUGUACUUCACAUCCAGGAGAUGGCUCGGGACAUUUAGCCUACAGAUGGAGUUAAUCAUUCAGCGUAUCAAGAAACGAACAAAAAUGCUUAUGAUGUAUCGACAAGGACACAAGAAUGAAUCUUUUUUCUCACCUGGAAGCAACGGUGAACUAUGAAAGCAGUAAGCUAAAUCUUUCUUUCGUGUGUAAUCCCAAACAAAAGUCCCAACACUAAUUAUAGCUGUUUAAGGCAUGCAGCAUAAUUUACAGUUCUAUCGAUGUCCGUAAUGACGUAUGGUAGGUGAAAUACAAUCGGUGAAAUACAAAAAUACAAAUACGAUUAUCCUUGUUACGACACAGAUACGAAUAAUCGCCAACUCGCCAAGGGAAUGUAGAUCACUCUCCAUGAUAUAGAAUCAGAUAUAACAAGAGGCUGUGUAAGAAAAAUGUCUGAUGCUAUUAAUAAUGUGACGAAAGUAAAAAUGUAAGCGCCUAGCCUUUUUAUUGUAAGUAAAUAAAAUAAAUUAAGUAUAAUUUAAGUUCUGGUUAAGUUGUUAUUUUUUAAAUACGACCAGUGGAAGUUAUAAAUCUAAAGAAACUUGGAAGCAAUUCAUUCUAUGGUCACUUACUUACAAAUAUUCGUUGGUCUACCUAUUUUAAUUUUACUGAACCUAUUCCGGUAAUAGCUUGUGAGGUUACAAUACAAUACAACUAUACAAUACAAGUACAAUAGUUCCUAAUUUGUUCCUAUUGGACAGAUUUGUAGCCUCACUACAGUG